This 649-nucleotide unclassified non-coding RNA is filed under the name Hevea brasiliensis (rubber tree). The record is from RNAcentral. Lineage: Eukaryota; Viridiplantae; Streptophyta; Magnoliopsida; Malpighiales; Euphorbiaceae.
GUGCUUCAAGAGCCACAAAUAAAAGUGGAUUUCUUCUCUCCCCAUCUGUGUGAAUAAAUUAAGGAGCUUUUUUUGAAGACAAAUCCGAUGCAAAAUAGAAAUAGAUUUGGCAGAUCAACCGUUUGUUGUGUUCUUGCAUGAAGGAUCUGAGUGAGUUUCUUUGUUUCUUCAUGUAAGUGAGAGAUUUGGCCUCUGGGUUUUGUGCUUUAACAGUUGUGUUUGGUGGAAAAGAAUGCUUCGGGUUAAAGAGCUAAUGACCAUGUCGCUGCCCCUUCUAACUACAUGAGAGUGAGAGACUAUCAGGGCUUUCUUUCUUCCUCGUCCUUCUUCCCCUGAGGUGUUGUGUUAUGAGAUGCCAUGAUUGUGUACUUUUCGAUGUUGUUUCUCAGCUUAGAUCUGUGUUGCUCAACACUUAGGUGUUAUUGUGCUAGGGUCAUCUUGUAUGACCCUAGCCGGAGCUUCAGUACUUUUGGUCUCCCAUCCGUCCGAUGAAGAGGUGAUUUCCUUAACUAUGUUCUUCUUGUAAUGUUGGUUGUCUUCAUCUGUUCGAGUUAUCGAGUUGAACACUAAACCUAUUUUAGUCAAGAAUUCUUUGAGUGCCAAUUGGAAUUUGGAUUGAAAUUGUAAUGUCUAGGCUCUUUUAGACCAU